RNAcentral lists this long non-coding RNA (246 nucleotides) under Lathyrus oleraceus (garden pea). RNAcentral describes it as "Pisum sativum (pea) long non-coding RNA (PSAT_LNC013110)". The record is from RNAcentral. Lineage: Eukaryota; Viridiplantae; Streptophyta; Magnoliopsida; Fabales; Fabaceae.
UUUUCCGCUGCUAAGUUUUUAAAAAUGUUUUCAAACUCUGAUUUUAUUUUUGAAAUCUUUUUCAAAACCAAGUUUUUCCAAUCCACACAAUUCCCCUCACCCCCUCUCUUGUGUGUGAAGUCUCAAGUCCAACAAAUGUUAAUUGGAAACCAUUAGUCAUGUAAGAUUCAAGGUAUUUAAUAAAAAGGGUUCAAAUUUUAUGAUAUGAUUGAAAGGAUUAUCCAAGAGGUGAGAUUUAUUCACGAC